This 497-nucleotide ribosomal RNA is filed under the name uncultured bacterium. RNAcentral's name for it is "partial 16S ribosomal RNA". It matches the Rfam family "Bacterial small subunit ribosomal RNA", at positions 28 to 507 of the family's 1533-position model. The record is from RNAcentral.
GAUGAACGCUGGCGGCGUGCCUAAUACAUGCAAGUCGAGCUAACAGACGAGGAGCUUGCUCCUCUGACGUUAGCGGCGGACGGGUGAGUAACACGUGGAUAACCUACCUAUAAGACUGGGAUAACUUCGGGAAACCGGAGCUAAUACCGGAUAAUAUAUUGAACCGCAUGGUUCAAUAGUGAAAGACGGUUUUGCUGUCACUUAUAGAUGGAUCCGCGCCGCAUUAGCUAGUUGGUAAGGUAACGGCUUACCAAGGCAACGAUGCGUAGCCGACCUGAGAGGGUGAUCGGCCACACUGGAACUGAGACACGGUCCAGACUCCUACGGGAGGCAGCAGUAGGGAAUCUUCCGCAAAGGGCGAAAGCCUGACGGAGCAACGCCGCGUGAGUGAUGAAGGUCUUCGGAUCGUAAAACUCUGUUAUUAGGGAAGAACAAAUGUGUAAGUAACUAUGCACGUCUUGACGGUACCUAAUCAGAAAGCCACGGCUAACUACGUG